GAUCUGCUUUAAGUCUUGGUAAAGCCAGAGACAGUUAACAGUCAGACUGCAUCUCAGCCCUGUCAAGAUGGAUCUCCAUAAUAGGUGAUGGAUAGUUUUAUUUGGGAGACAUAUUAACUUAUACCAUUCGGAAUUUUUUUAGAUUGGUUUGCCAGUUUGUAACCCAUCAAGUUGAGGCCAAUAGAUAUGCAUUCACAGCCCUGUAUCCAUCAAAUAAUCAACUUUAUGUGUGACUUUGGGAUGGAUUCAUACAAUCACAUUUCCUUUCUCAAGAAAGGUUGGAAGGUAGGUAAUUUGAAUGGCUAAUGCUCUCUGCUCCCUGCUGUCAGGAUGCUGUCCGUGGCUCCCGGCUGGUUGCCCAGAAGAGUAUAAAGGCAAGGAAAAGUUUCAUACAGUCUUUUUUUAUUUAAAACUUUACAGAGAGAGGCUAUAGAACCCAGCCUCUUGGAUAAUGGUGUUGUCCUGAGUGAAUCUCCACCACCUGUCUCUCCCACUUCUUCAUUCGUCAACCUCAUCACCUCAUCUACAAGUGCCACUAAGUGCCCUCUGUCUUUGAGCUCUUUGCUCUCCUACUUUUAAGGCUUGCCAGGUUCUGGGAGAUGGUGGGUCUGGAAGGCUCUCCCAUGAUUUCCCAACUUUCCCCCUCAUCUGCCUCUGAGCUGCAACCUCCCUCAAACCCCUGCUGUAAAUCUAUACUGUCUUCCUCUUCCUCCUCCCUGGAAGGGUCAGGAUGGGGAGGUGGUCUCCACCAUUCCAUUCCCGGUCACUAUGUUUUCACAGAGCUCUGUCACACAUCUUGCUAUGGUGACAGCCAUGCACUCAAGUCUACGCUAGUCUGGUGCAUUUUUCAUUGAAAACUAUGCUGCUGUAAGUAGGGACUCAUGAAUGUUCACAGUGUAUUGGGGCAGGAGAAAGUGGGAGCGGAUGUUAGAAUGAAGAGGAAGUGGGGACAGGUGUGAAGAGUGGGACGCUAGUGCUACAAUUUGAUGGGAGAAGUGUGAUCUUAGAAAUGCAUGAAGCAGCUCUCCAGGAUGUGCCAAAUAUCAGAUUGCCAUGUGGUGGGUCGUGUUCUGAAAAAAUACUCGUCACUGAAAAAGAGAGGGGAAAGUCAUCAUGAAUGAAUGGGAAAGUAAGGUCUGAGCCUGAAAACCACAAAUACAGUUAAUAACAGCCGUGGGGGGAUGGGGAAUCCAAGAUAAAAAAAUAAGAGCAGCUGCACGAUAGAUAUGGUUCCCAAUUUGUUUUUAGGAAACUCAUUAUGAAGGAACAUGGUUAAUGUUUCUUGAUUAAAAACUGGGAUAACCUUUCCACUAAGCUUAGGUGAGGCUGAGAACAGAUCUAUUUCAAAUUACGAUUUAAAAAGAACUGUUAGUGUUGGAUUGUUUGGGACACUGCCAAUCAAGUAAAUUUAUUGCUCUGGUAAGAGUGGACAUCCUUUCAUGUCUCAAGCAGCUACUAUAUAUGUAUGUGUUGCCACUGUCAAAUUUAUCAGAACCAUCUUCAUAGCAUAAGGGAUAACAUUAACAGGAGACUUUAUCUCUCAUGAGAGCUUCUGCAGACUGCAGCGAUAACAAGCAACAUGUCAAGUGCAGAUAACAUUUCCUUUUCAGGACUGCUUUAUUUUCUCUCUUGAGAUCCCCAACUUUGUAAAUCUGUUCACAGUUGCGUCCACUCAUAACAAUGUGUUUGUAUAAUCAAAGGUGACUUAAGCUCUGACCUUCAGCUAUAUAUAACACAUCACAGCAUGGGUGAAGUUUCACACUGCAUAUUCCAGUUCGACAAAAAGCCCUUUCCAUCAUUCUCCUCAUCCUGUGAGCAGGCAGAGAGGGUUCUCUGGUUCCACCCCCUCUUGUUUAUUUAUUUAUUGACUGAAUUUAUAUUGCACAUAUAUAUAAAAUAUUCAUGUUGCCUCACCACCACUACUCCUGCCGCCCUUCAUGCGUUGACAGCUGAACAUCCGCAGCAUUACUGUAUUUCUGUUGGCUCCUCACAUGAUUUCAUUCCCCAGGGUCUAAAUCACACCGGGAGUUUACAUGAGCGAAAAAGGCUCUCAACUUCAGAAGCUAUCCCUUUCACCCAUGGAAGGUAACAGGAAUUGUGACAGGAGGUACACAGGGUCUUCGAUGCAUCAUUUGAUGGAUUAGAACACCUUCAAUAGUGACAGAGAGGGGGGGGGUUGUUUUGUUUUUUAAAGGGUCUCCAGAUUCUCUAAUGUGCUGAUUUUUAAAUGUAUAAACACAAGGAGACGCUUGCCAGUAGGGUAACCAAGAAGGAAAAUAGGCAGGCAAUAUUCUACCCAAUCAAAGUGUGAUGAAGCCUAAAUGGUUUAAUUAUUAGCAUGUGUGGCAGGGGAGCUACUAAAUCGAUGUCUGAGGUCAGUAAUGACCUGGAUGAGGGUCAAUGAAAUGAAACUCUGUCUAAAUAAAUUGACAGGUUCUGUUGGUAGGUGAUUUGUGUGACCAAUGAGAUGGUGUUAGUCUAUUGUAGAUCACUCCCUCUAAAGGACCAGGUUCAGCAUCUGGGGUGAUGACAGAGCCAACAUUUUCACUGGAUAUCCAAGCGGCGUCUGUGGUAUGUAAUACCUUUCAGCAGCUAAGACUGUUGGACCAGCUGUGCCUUCUUAUUCACAUUCUGGUGAUUCCUAAGAUGACUGCUGCCAUGCCUUGCAUGUGGGACUACCCUUGAAGACUUCUUGGAGGCUUCCAUUAGCACAAAAUGCACCUGCCAGGCUGGAGACUGGCAAUGGCGAACAUAUUUUCCCAGUGCUUAAACAACAACACUGCCAUUCCUCUUUCAGGAAUAAUUCAGACUGCAGGUCAUAGGGCUAAAUGGCUAUUUGAAGGAUGCUUUUUACUAUAUAAACACACCUGGUUCCAUCUCUGCCCUGCUUGUCAUCUGGAUUUAGGCAGCAGCGCACAUGGGAUAUGCCCAGAGGAUGGAUAACUGCGACCACAGGGGCUAUUAAUAUAGGAGAGAAUCUAGAAGGAAUGUGGUUGUAUAUUCUAGCCAAUGUAAGUUUGGACUCAUGGGGUAUAAAAUGUACCACAAAACUUAUCACUUAUACAAUCUUUUUAGACUUCCAUCAGCACCUCUGAUGAUCCGCCGUUUUAACCACUUCUUAUGCAUUUCUUAACUUUAUAUUGCCUUUACAUCUCUUAACAAAUCAUCCUCCCCCUUGUCCAUUUUUACAAUACUUCUAAUAAUACUCCUCACAAAACUUCUUGCAACCCUACAAACGUUGUCUGUUCUUCACAAUUACUUUUCAAAUAGUCCGUAAAUUUACUCCAGUCUUCCGUGAAUUUCUGGUCUCGCCGGUUUCGAAUCCUUCCUGUUAGUUUAUCUAAUUCUGCAUAGUCCAUUAACUUCAUCCCACAUUUUUCAAUCGUCGGUAACUCUUCUUGCUUCCAUUUUUGGGCCAAUAAUAUUCUUGCUGCUGUUAUUGCAUAUAAAAGGAGCUUACAUUCCUUUCUAUUUAUGUCACUCCCCACAAUGCCCAAUAAAAAUGCUUCUAGUUUCUUUAUAAAUGUAUAUUUCAACAUUUUUUUCAACUCAUUAUAUAUCAUCUCCCAGAAGCAUUUCACCUUUUUACAUUCUCACCACAUGUGAUAAAAUGUUCCCUCUUUUUCUUUACAUUUCCAACCUUUAUUACUGACUUUAUACAUUUUCGCUAACUUGACAGGUGUAAUAUACCAGUUCAGCCCCUAGUGUUAGCGCAUAUUGUCCUCAUUUAAAGAAGGGUUCAGGGUGGCUAAUUGUGCAUCAUUCAGCCUGGGAGCUUAGCUGUUGUUAUUUUUAAAAUUUGCUCCUGCUUUGCUCUUGCUUAUCAAAUUUCUCCAUACAAAGUGGUGAUGAGCAUACUAUUCUUCAUCUAGCUGCUCAUGCAAAUUCUUGUCGGACUUGCCAUUCGUCUCCCAAUUCCCAAUGCAAACAGCUGCUCAACUAGCUAUUGCUUCCCUUCCCUUCCCUCUUCUGUUCAACUGGCUUUAUUUGAUCGCACCUUGCAUGAGAAGAUGUCGUUCUUCUUUUGCCUCUGAUAUGCACAAACCAUUGGAGAACUUACUCCAUUAUUCAAGGCACACAUCCAUAGAUGCACACAUGCCCCCCCCCCGCCGCCGCCACUUGCCAAUGCAUGUAACAGUGCAUAAAUAGAAAUUUUCUUUACUACUUUGCCUUUCUGCUGCUGCUUCUUUGCCUCAACUACUGCUAUAGACUGCGGUGGACAUUUAGAGCCACGGUGGAGCAAGAAGGAGCCAUUAAUUCAUUUUCUAGUUGCAUUAAAUGGGAUGGAGUAAUUGCAAACUGCCAGGGUAGCUCAUAAAAUAGAAAUGUGUAUUCAUGACUGAAAACCUGAUAAGACAAAACAGGAAAACAUAUCCCAAAUGAUAAAUGUUAUGGGGACAGACUCCAGCUUCCUCUGCUCUACAUCUUUAUUUUUCAAUUAUAAGACGUGACAAUUGAUUACAAUGUUAUCUAAUGGCUCCUUAUCAUCACCUCUGGAAUUUGAAAGGAAUAAGAAAAAUGCUUUGUCUACUUGUUCUUUAGCUGCAAAGAUAAAAGAUGUUUUAUUUCCUUUAUAGGAGCUCAUAAAAAAGAGAGGAGAUAAUUAUACCAAAUGGUUAUGUAAAUCCCAAGAGAAAAAGAAAAUCGGCUCUUGUGAAGAAUUUAAAUAAGUUUUUGAAUUCAUUGGGAGAUGCUGAAUUUUUCAUUUCAUUGUUUAUCAGUGAGGUUUGUAAAAGUUAUCCAACUGGCCUAAUGAAAUAUUAAUUUGACUUCCAUUACAUUAAAGGAGAGAGCCAUUUUUAUGUUUAAAGAAAACGG
Molecule: non-coding RNA, 4818 nt
Organism: Podarcis lilfordi (Lilford's wall lizard)
Lineage: Eukaryota; Metazoa; Chordata; Lepidosauria; Squamata; Lacertidae
Source: the annotation of a GenBank genome assembly